This 111-nucleotide Y RNA is filed under the name Prolemur simus (greater bamboo lemur). RNAcentral describes it as "Y RNA (ENSPSMG00000005223.1)". It matches the Rfam family "Y RNA". From Rfam's summary of the family: Y RNAs are components of the Ro ribonucleoprotein particle (Ro RNP), in association with Ro60 and La proteins. The Y RNAs and Ro60 and La proteins are well conserved, but the function of the Ro RNP is not known. Lineage: Eukaryota; Metazoa; Chordata; Mammalia; Primates; Lemuridae. The record is from Rfam by way of RNAcentral.
GGCUGGUCUGAAGGUAGUGAGUUAUCCCACUUGAUUGUUCACAGUCAGUUACAGAUUGAACUCCUUGUUCUACUGCUUUCCCUUCUCACUACUGCACUUGACUAGUCAAAA